RNAcentral lists this long non-coding RNA (498 nucleotides) under Olea europaea (common olive). RNAcentral's name for it is "long non-coding RNA (OEUR_LNC005859)". Lineage: Eukaryota; Viridiplantae; Streptophyta; Magnoliopsida; Lamiales; Oleaceae. The record is from RNAcentral.
GAAGUUAUAAGGGACCAUUGGAGCAACUAGGAACAAGAGAGGAGGUCAAGUAGUGAAUGAAUGAAACUUGAGGACCAAAAUGAAUUAAACUAGAAGCUAGCUAUACUAUGCGACCGCAUAGUAUAAAACCUAUGCGGUCGCGAGUGAACCUCCAGGGUUGAAAAAGGGCAUUUUUAUUAAACCUAUGCGGUCGCAUAUGUAUAAAUUUUCCCGAAUUUUGCACUUUUCUUAUACGAUUGCAACUCCUUUGGUAACCUAAUUUGGACGGGUUUAAAUAGCAACAAGACGUCCAGAAGCCGCAGGAACGACGAGGGAGAAGAAAUACACUCAAUUUGAAGGCAAGAAACACAAUCUUGGACUUGAUUUCACAAGGAUUCAAGAAGGAAUUGAAGAUUACACACAAAAUUGAAGGAUUAUCAUACGGGUGUAUUCUUUAUAUCUUUUAAUUUCGUUUUAAUUCUUGAUUCUAUAAUUAUGAUCAUAGGCUAGGGUUUUUAU